This 75-nucleotide ribosomal RNA is filed under the name Zaptyx tantilla. Its description in RNAcentral is "Hemiphaedusa tantilla partial 5.8S rRNA". The stretch from base 25 to 75 matches the Rfam family "5.8S ribosomal RNA", at positions 1 to 51 of the family's 154-position model. From Rfam's summary of the family: 5.8S ribosomal RNA (5.8S rRNA) is a component of the large subunit of the eukaryotic ribosome. It is transcribed by RNA polymerase I as part of the 45S precursor that also contains 18S and 28S rRNA. Functionally, it is thought that 5.8S rRNA may be involved in ribosome translocation. Lineage: Eukaryota; Metazoa; Mollusca; Gastropoda; Stylommatophora; Clausiliidae. The record is from RNAcentral.
GAAAGAGCAGAGAAGGAAUAGAACAACUUUGAGCGGUGGAUCACUCGGCUCGUGCGUCGAUGAAGAGCGCAGCCA